GAUGAACGCUGGCGGCGUGCCUAAUACAUGCAAGUCGAGCGAACAGAUGAGGAGCUUGCUCCUCUGACGUUAGCGGCGGAAGGGGGAGUAACACGUGGGUAACCUACCUAUAAGACUGGGAUAAAUUCGGGAAACCGGAGCUAAUACCGGAUAAUAUAUUGAACCGCAUGGUUCAAUAGUGAAAGACGGUUUUGCUGUCACUUAUAGAUGGAUCCGCGCCGCAUUAGCUAGUUGGUAAGGUAACGGCUUACCAAGGCAACGAUGCGUAGCCGACCUGAGAGGGUGAUCGGCCACACUGGAACUGAGACACGGUCCAGACUCCUACGGGAGGCAGCAGUAGGGAAUCUUCCGCAAUGGGCGAAAGCCUGACGGAGCAACGCCGCGUGAGUGAUGAAGGUCUUCGGAUCGUAAAACUCUGUUAUUAGGGAAGAACAAAUGUGUAAGUAACUAUGCACGUCUUGACGGUACCUAAUCAGAAAGCCACGGCUAACUACGUG
This 497-nucleotide ribosomal RNA is filed under the name uncultured bacterium. RNAcentral describes it as "partial 16S ribosomal RNA". It matches the Rfam family "Bacterial small subunit ribosomal RNA", at positions 28 to 507 of the family's 1533-position model. The record is from RNAcentral.